GACGAACGCUGGCGGCAGGCUUAACACAUGCAAGUCGAGCGGGCGAGGUUGCUUCGGUAACUGAGCUAGCGGCGGACGGGUGAGUAAAGCUUAGGAAUCUGCCUAUUAGUGGGGGACAACAUUUCGAAAGGGAUGCUAAUACCGCAUACGUCCUACGGGAGAAAGCAGGGGAUCACUUGUGACCUUGCGCUAAUAGAUGAGCCUAAGUCGGAUUAGCUAGUUGGUGGGGUAAAGGCCUACCAAGGCGACGAUCUGUAGCGGGUCUGAGAGGAUGAUCCGCCACACUGGGACUGAGACACGGCCCAGACUCCUACGGGAGGCAGCAGUGGGGAAUAUUGGACAAUGGGGGGAACCCUGAUCCAGCCAUGCCGCGUGUGUGAAGAAGGCCUUUUGGUUGUAAAGCACUUUAAGUGGGGAGGAGGCUCUCUUGGUUAAUACCUAAGAAGAGUGGACGUUACCCACAGAAUAAGCACCGGCUAACUCUGUGCCAGCCGCCGCCGUAA
Molecule: ribosomal RNA, 503 nt
Filed under: uncultured bacterium
Lineage: Bacteria
Description: partial 16S ribosomal RNA
Rfam family: Bacterial small subunit ribosomal RNA
Source: RNAcentral